This 497-nucleotide ribosomal RNA is filed under the name uncultured bacterium. RNAcentral describes it as "partial 16S ribosomal RNA". It matches the Rfam family "Bacterial small subunit ribosomal RNA", at positions 28 to 507 of the family's 1533-position model. The record is from RNAcentral.
GACGAACGCUGGCGGCGUGCCUAAUACAUGCAAGUUGAGCGAUGAAGAUUGGUGCUUGCACCAAUUUGAAGAGCAGCGAACGGGUGAGUAACGCGUGGCGAAUCUGCCUUUGAGCGGGGGACAACAUUUGGAAACGAAUGCUAAUACCGCAUAACAACUUUAAACAUAAGUUUUAAGUUUGAAAGAUGCAAUUGCAUCACUCAAAGAUGAUCCCGCGUUGUAUUAGCUAGUUGGUGAGGUAAAGGCUCACCAAGGCGAUGAUACAUAGCCGACCUGAGAGGGUGAUCGGCCACAUUGGGACUGAGACACGGCCCAAACUCCUACGGGAGGCAGCAGUAGGGAAUCUUCGGCAAUGGACGAAAGUCUGACCGAGCAACGCCGCGUGAGUGAAGAAGGUUUUCGGAUCGUAAAACUCUGUUGGUAGAGAAGAACGUUGGUGAGAGUGGAAAGCUCAUCAAGUGACGGUAACUACCCAGAAAGGGACGGCUAACUACGUG